AGUGAACGCUGGCGGUAGGCCUAACACAUGCAAGUCGAACGGCAGCACAGUAAGAGCUUGCUCUUACGGGUGGCGAGUGGCGGACGGGUGAGGAAUACAUCGGAAUCUACUUUUUCGUGGGGGAUAACGUAGGGAAACUUACGCUAAUACCGCAUACGACCUACGGGUGAAAGCAGGGGAUCUUCGGACCUUGCGCGAUUGAAUGAGCCGAUGUCGGAUUAGCUAGUUGGCGGGGUAAAGGCCCACCAAGGCGACGAUCCGUAGCUGGUCUGAGAGGAUGAUCAGCCACACUGGAACUGGGACACGGUCCAGACUCCUACGGGAGGCAGCAGUGGGGAAUAUUGGAAAAUGGGCGCAAGCCUGAUCCAGCCAUACCGCGUGGGUGAAGAAGGCCUUCGGGUUGUAAAGCCCUUUUGUUGGGAAAGAAAAGCAGCAGGUUAAUACCCCGCUGUUCUGACGGUACCCAAAGAAUAAGCACCGGCUAACUUCGU
Molecule: ribosomal RNA, 491 nt
Filed under: uncultured bacterium
Lineage: Bacteria
Description: partial 16S ribosomal RNA
Rfam family: Bacterial small subunit ribosomal RNA
Source: RNAcentral